RNAcentral lists this long non-coding RNA (571 nucleotides) under Marmota monax (woodchuck). The record is from RNAcentral. Lineage: Eukaryota; Metazoa; Chordata; Mammalia; Rodentia; Sciuridae.
UAGGACCCACCACAGCCAGGGGAACACCAGCUGUGUCUUAUGCACAGGAAGUCACGGAGCAAGGCAGCCAUGCGUUCAAGUAAAAAAAAAUUUAAAAGAAAAAGAAAGAAAAGUGGGAGCUUCGUAAACACUUAGUUCCUGAUUAAGCGAUAAGCUCAUGGCCACUUGCAGAGAGUCUUUCUAGGACAGCAGCAACCAGCCAGGCUGAGUCACAGAGGUGGAGCCCCAGAGAAGCCUCAGAGGGAGCUGGGCGCACUAGUAAUAUCAGUCGCAGCAGCUGCAGAGUGACUCCUUCUGUGAACAGACAGCAGAGCGAGGAGAAUUUGGGUCCUGGAGUGGCAACAACCAAACACAACUAUUAUUCCUUUCUGUGUUUCUCUUGGUACAAGGCCAAUGAUUGUGACUGAUCUUUAGACAAUGAGAUUUCCAAAGGAAAGUAUUUUAUCUUCAUUUUCUCAGCUUCAGAAGUAUGUGACUUUUAUCCCAAACACGUUUCUCUUUUAUUAGUAAAACAAACAAGCAAACAAAAACCCAGAAACCAAAAACCAGACUUUCAGCACUUAGAACUUGC